GGCCUUGUAGUGUAGUGGUUAGCACGUGGGAUUUUGAGCGUUUGUUCGCCAAACGAAGGAUUCCCGAGUCCCCGGUUCGAACCCGGGCAAGACCU
This 95-nucleotide transfer RNA is filed under the name Diaporthe ampelina. It matches the Rfam family "tRNA". Rfam says of the family: Transfer RNA (tRNA) molecules are approximately 80 nucleotides in length. Their secondary structure includes four short double-helical elements and three loops (D, anti-codon, and T loops). Lineage: Eukaryota; Fungi; Ascomycota; Sordariomycetes; Diaporthales; Diaporthaceae. The record is from Rfam by way of RNAcentral.